RNAcentral lists this transfer RNA (72 nucleotides) under Litocranius walleri (gerenuk). RNAcentral's name for it is "tRNA-Gln". It matches the Rfam family "tRNA". From Rfam's summary of the family: Transfer RNA (tRNA) molecules are approximately 80 nucleotides in length. Their secondary structure includes four short double-helical elements and three loops (D, anti-codon, and T loops). Further hydrogen bonds mediate the characteristic L-shaped molecular structure. tRNAs have two regions of fundamental functional importance: the anti-codon, which is responsible for specific mRNA codon recognition, and the 3' end, to which the tRNAs corresponding amino acid is attached (by aminoacyl-tRNA synthetases). tRNAs cope with the degeneracy of the genetic code in two manners: having more than one tRNA (with a specific anti-codon) for a particular amino acid; and 'wobble' base-pairing, i.e. permitting non-standard base-pairing at the 3rd anti-codon position. The record is from RNAcentral. Lineage: Eukaryota; Metazoa; Chordata; Mammalia; Artiodactyla; Bovidae.
UAGAGUUUGGUGUAGUUGGAAGCACGAAGAAUUUUGGGUUCUUAGGAGUAGGUUCAAUUCCUAUAGUUCUAG